GACGAACGCUGGCGGUGUGCCUCACACAUGCAAGUCGAGCGGACGAAGAUUGAAGCUUGCUUCAGUCCAAGUUAGCGGCGGACGGGUGAGUAACACGUAGGAAUCUGCCUUCAGGCGGGGGACGAACGGAACGAAAGUUGCGCUAAUACCCCAUAUGCGAGUAAUCGUAAAGGAAGCAAUCCACCGGAAGAUGAGCCUGCGUCCGAUUAGCUAGUUGGUAGGGUAAAAGACCUACCAAGGCUACGAUCGGUAGUUGGUCUGAGAGGAUGAUCAGCCACAAUGGAACUGAGACACGGUCCAUACUCCUACGGGAGGCAGCAGUGGGGAAUUUUACGCAAUGGGCGAAAGCCUGACGUAGCGACACCGCGUGAGCGAAGAAGCCUUUUGGGGUGUAAAGCUCUGUCAGCUGGAACGAACACAAUGACGGUACCAGCAGAGGAAGCAUCGGCUAACUACGUGCCAGCAGCCGCGGUAAUGUCUAGCA
This 484-nucleotide ribosomal RNA is filed under the name uncultured bacterium. RNAcentral's name for it is "bacterial SSU rRNA". It matches the Rfam family "Bacterial small subunit ribosomal RNA", at positions 28 to 532 of the family's 1533-position model. The record is from RNAcentral.